UGCAUCGGCCGAGAAUCGAACCCGGGGUGCCCGCGUGGUAGGCGCGCAUUCUACCACUGAACCAAAAGC
RNAcentral lists this transfer RNA (69 nucleotides) under Cordylochernes scorpioides. Its description in RNAcentral is "tRNA-Gly". Lineage: Eukaryota; Metazoa; Arthropoda; Arachnida; Pseudoscorpiones; Chernetidae. The record is from RNAcentral.